CAAUGUAUAGCUGUAGCAACUGUUUUCUGUUACUAAAUAGGCGUUUUUUAAGCUGUUCAGUUUGCCCUUGAAAUAUGUCAAAUGACUCAUUUCAGGUUUACCUAGAGAGUAUUGUCUUUGUGUAACUCCAUCCUCUUAUCCCAGAAACAAUCAUUCUUGCAUGUCAUGGUUACCUCAUUUAGUGCCCUUUGAGAGCUUUUGCAGGUGGGCAAUAUUUCACAUGCAGUUUGGUUUGUAUGCUGUAAACAUCACUGAACAAAAACAAAACCAUCAGAAAAAUAACACUGGAAAGAUUGGAAGCUGCUAAGGGUAGAAUCAUUCUCAGUUAUGGGGUGGUCUAAAGGUUUGCUUUCUUGGAAUCCCAAAGGGAAGCUGUUUUAUGAGUGACAUAAGGAGAGCACACACAGGAAUGAGCUGAGGCAGAGGCUAUUGCUAUCAUGGUUUAUAAGCAUAACAGAUAGCCUAGACACUAUGGAUGGAAGCUUGGAAUAUCAUCGGAUAGAGUGGCACCAUCAGAGGAAUUCCUGGUAUUACCAAAUGAAGUAGGCAUGGGAACAGUUUUUGUGACAAAUAUUUUGGAUGUCUUCACUCUACCCCUCACCCACUGUAGGGAAGUGAAGGCAUGAGAAUUUGAACAGAAGAGACACCCUACUACCUGUACUUCCUACACAAGACCCAGUGACCACAGGCUCCCAACAAAUGAGCCAGGCCUCUGCUUAUUCUUCAACACGCAUAUCACAUCACCCUAGCAAGAAAUGGAUUUCCUCUGCAUUAUUGUUUAUCUGGAGAGAAUAACAGUUCACAAAGUCCAAUCAGAUCAAAGCAACUUCAUGAUCGAAUUAAGCCUCACAUGGAUUCAAAAACACUUCUAUUGAGUACCUGUGACAUUGCAUAAAAUGACUACAGCUUCAAGCACAAUGUCAAUGAAAUAAAAGUUAUACCUUGUGAAAUAGAUUGUAAUCUAGGUACAGAUAUUCAUCUUUCUUUUAUGUUCAAUGGCCUUUGUGCAUCUGUGUGUGUGUUCAGUUAAUACAUAUUUAUAAAUGAUGAAAAGGGAAACAAGUCAUCAUUAUUUUUAUCAACUUUUGUUAAAAAUACAUAUCGGUUAACGUUGCCAGGUAACAUACAAGAUGCUCUGCUGAAUUUGAAUUUCCAAUAAAAAAAUAAGUAAAUUUUUUAGCACAAGUGUGUGCCAAAUAUGGCAUAGAGCAUAUUUAUACUAAAUAGUGAUUAUUUGUCUAAAAAUCUAAUUUAACUGAGUGUCAUAUUUCCUUUAUCUUUUUCUAGCUUUAUUGAGAUAUAAUUAUCAGAAAUUAUAUAUACAGCCGUGUGUUCUUUAACAAAAGAGAUGCCUUCUGAGAAACACAUCAUUAGGUGAUGUCAUUGUGGGAACACUAUAGAUUAUAAACCUAGAUAAUAUAGCCAACUACACACCUAAGUUAUAUGGUAUAGCCUAUUGCUCCUAGGCUAAAACCUGCACAGCAUAUUACUGUACUAAAUACUAUAGGCCAUUGUAACACAAAGAUAAGUAUUU
Molecule: long non-coding RNA, 1534 nt
Filed under: Homo sapiens (human)
Lineage: Eukaryota; Metazoa; Chordata; Mammalia; Primates; Hominidae
Description: HSALNT0057832
Source: RNAcentral